GUAUAUUUUAAUGAUCAUAUUGAUCUUUAAACCACUACAGAGACACGAUGCUUUCAUCUACAGUUACACACGAGAGGAUUAUCAGUGCAGCGACACAACAGGACAACUCCAGAUCCUCUCAAUGCCUGAGCUGUUCUCAUCAGAGCAGUCACACAUGGGGAAUAUAAUACAAGCUGUGCUAGACUUCAUGUAGAAAGAUUAGAGUAUAUAUGGGAAAGCAGUCAUUUUAUUUUCUACAAAUCUACAUUGAGCUCUAUGACACUGAUUUGACCAAACUGUAAACAUAUUAUUAUUAUACACACUCCAGUACAGCAGGUUGCGGUAUCAGCUUCAUGCUGCUCUCUGUAACUCGCCACACAAGAAGAAGAAGAGGAGGAGGAAGAGGUUAUCCAGUUUCUUCUAGAGUUUCUGCUGGAGAUCAAACUCUUCAGGUCCAUCAUGGAGGACACACACACAGAUCAGGAUUUGUCUACAGGAUGCAGUUCAGUUCAUCAGAAGAGAGCAGAAGCAGAGCCCAGCUGUGUGUCUAUGAAGAGUCACGCGUCUAUGGGUCCACCAAUAGCAUUUAAGAGUGAAAACACAGGACCUGCUGUCAGUCUGGACUGGAGCUCUGCAGACAAACCCCCGAUGAGUGACCUUCUGAAGACUGAGUGAUGAGGAGGAGGAUAAGGGGAGCUGCGGGAGGCGGGAAUAACAGUCAGCUGACACAGUGCAGUUUAUACUGCUGCUUAUAUAGUCAUGUGAUGAUGAUUGACACGCCUGCAUGAUUAAGCUCCUCCCACACCUAC
Molecule: non-coding RNA, 788 nt
Organism: Danio rerio (zebrafish)
Lineage: Eukaryota; Metazoa; Chordata; Actinopteri; Cypriniformes; Danionidae
Source: RefSeq, a predicted model, not a curated record